GUUAAGCGACUAAGCGUACACGGUGGAUGCCCUGGCAGUCAGAGGCGAUGAAGGACGUGCUAAUCUGCGAUAAGCGUCGGUAAGGUGAUAUGAACCGUUAUAACCGGCGAUUUCCGAAUGGGGAAACCCAGUGUGUUUCGACACACUAUCAUUAACUGAAUCCAUAGGUUAAUGAGGCGAACCGGGGGAACUGAAACAUCUAAGUACCCCGAGGAAAAGAAAUCAACCGAGAUUCCCCCAGUAGCGGCGAGCGAACGGGGAGCAGCCCAGAGCCUGAAUCAGUGUGUGUGUUAGUGGAAGCGUCUGGAAAGGCGCGCGAUACAGGGUGACAGCCCCGUACACAAAAAUGCACAUGCUGUGAGCUCGAUGAGUAGGGCGGGACACGUGGUAUCCUGUCUGAAUAUGGGGGGACCAUCCUCCAAGGCUAAAUACUCCUGACUGACCGAUAGUGAACCAGUACCGUGAGGGAAAGGCGAAAAGAACCCCGGCGAGGGGAGUGAAAAAGAACCUGAAACCGUGUACGUACAAGCAGUGGGAGCACGCUUAGGCGUGUGACUGCGUACCUUUUGUAUAAUGGGUCAGCGACUUAUAUUCUGUAGCAAGGUUAACCGAAUAGGGGAGCCGAAGGGAAACCGAGUCUUAACUGGGCGUUAAGUUGCAGGGUAUAGACCCGAAACCCGGUGAUCUAGCCAUGGGCAGGUUGAAGGUUGGGUAACACUAACUGGAGGACCGAACCGACUAAUGUUGAAAAAUUAGCGGAUGACUUGUGGCUGGGGGUGAAAGGCCAAUCAAACCGGGAGAUAGCUGGUUCUCCCCGAAAGCUAUUUAGGUAGCGCCUCGUGAAUUCAUCUCCGGGGGUAGAGCACUGUUUCGGCAAGGGGGUCAUCCCGACUUACCAACCCGAUGCAAACUGCGAAUACCGGAGAAUGUUAUCACGGGAGACACACGGCGGGUGCUAACGUCCGUCGUGAAGAGGGAAACAACCCAGACCGCCAGCUAAGGUCCCAAAGUCAUGGUUAAGUGGGAAACGAUGUGGGAAGGCCCAGACAGCCAGGAUGUUGGCUUAGAAGCAGCCAUCAUUUAAAGAAAGCGUAAUAGCUCACUGGUCGAGUCGGCCUGCGCGGAAGAUGUAACGGGGCUAAACCAUGCACCGAAGCUGCGGCAGCGACGCUUAUGCGUUGUUGGGUAGGGGAGCGUUCUGUAAGCCUGUGAAGGUGUGCUGUGAGGCAUGCUGGAGGUAUCAGAAGUGCGAAUGCUGACAUAAGUAACGAUAAAGCGGGUGAAAAGCCCGCUCGCCGGAAGACCAAGGGUUCCUGUCCAACGUUAAUCGGGGCAGGGUGAGUCGACCCCUAAGGCGAGGCCGAAAGGCGUAGUCGAUGGGAAACAGGUUAAUAUUCCUGUACUUGGUGUUACUGCGAAGGGGGGACGGAGAAGGCUAUGUUGGCCGGGCGACGGUUGUCCCGGUUUAAGCGUGUAGGCUGGUUUUCCAGGCAAAUCCGGAAAAUCAAGGCUGAGGCGUGAUGACGAGGCACUACGGUGCUGAAGCAACAAAUGCCCUGCUUCCAGGAAAAGCCUCUAAGCAUCAGGUAACAUCAAAUCGUACCCCAAACCGACACAGGUGGUCAGGUAGAGAAUACCAAGGCGCUUGAGAGAACUCGGGUGAAGGAACUAGGCAAAAUGGUGCCGUAACUUCGGGAGAAGGCACGCUGAUAUGUAGGUGAAGUCCCUCGCGGAUGGAGCUGAAAUCAGUCGAAGAUACCAGCUGGCUGCAACUGUUUAUUAAAAACACAGCACUGUGCAAACACGAAAGUGGACGUAUACGGUGUGACGCCUGCCCGGUGCCGGAAGGUUAAUUGAUGGGGUUAGCCGCAAGGCGAAGCUCUUGAUCGAAGCCCCGGUAAACGGCGGCCGUAACUAUAACGGUCCUAAGGUAGCGAAAUUCCUUGUCGGGUAAGUUCCGACCUGCACGAAUGGCGUAAUGAUGGCCAGGCUGUCUCCACCCGAGACUCAGUGAAAUUGAACUCGCUGUGAAGAUGCAGUGUACCCGCGGCAAGACGGAAAGACCCCGUGAACCUUUACUAUAGCUUGACACUGAACAUUGAGCCUUGAUG
RNAcentral lists this ribosomal RNA (2111 nucleotides) under Escherichia coli. RNAcentral describes it as "partial 23S ribosomal RNA". It matches the Rfam family "Bacterial large subunit ribosomal RNA", at positions 1 to 2136 of the family's 2925-position model. The record is from RNAcentral. Lineage: Bacteria; Pseudomonadati; Pseudomonadota; Gammaproteobacteria; Enterobacterales; Enterobacteriaceae.